CGGACUCAGCCCGCCUGCACCCAGGUGAAAUAAACAGCCUUGUUGCUCACACAAAGCCUGUUUGGUGGUCUCUUCACACAAACGUGCAUGAAAUUUGGUGCCAUGACUCGGAUUGGGGUACCUCCCUUGGGAGAUCAAUCCCCAGUCCUCCUGCUGUUUGCUCCAUGAGAAAGAUCCACCUAGGACCUCAGGUCCUCAGACUGACCAGCCCAAGGAACAUCUCACCAAUUUCAAAUCUGGAACGCGCAUGAAAAAAACAAACAAAAAAAUUUCUUUUGGUAGCAGAAUAAAAAAACAAAAAAAAGGACUUUUUCUUCUGGACUGAACUAUAUUUAAAUCUCAAAGGAUGGACAUCUCACAACCUUCGUACAGCAAGUACUGUGAGAGCUGCAUCUUGUCCCACUGGAUGGUCUUCAGAGACAAUAAUACAUAAUGGAGCUGUCAUCUCCUAUGAUAACAAUGCCUUCUUCUGGAUACCUCCUGAAGGACCUGCCUGAGGCUCUUUCACUGUUAGUUUUUUUUUAAUAAGUAGAAGGAUUACACUCUAAAAUAAUAAGUGUAGUAUAGUAAAUGUAUAAACCAGUAACAUAAUGGUUUAUUAUCAUUAUCAAGUAUUACAUACUGUACAAAAUUAUAUGUGCUACAAUUUUAUGUGACUGGCAGCACAGUAGGUUUGUUUAUACCAGCAUCACCACAAACACGUGAGUAAUAUGGCACACCAUGAUAUUCUGACAACCAUGACAUCACUAGGCCAGGGAAUUUUUUAGGUCCAUUAUCAUCAUAGGCGACCACAGCUGUAUAUGAGAUGUGGUCUGUCAUUGACUAAAAUCUCAUUAUGACUAUAC
Molecule: long non-coding RNA, 845 nt
Filed under: Pan troglodytes (chimpanzee)
Lineage: Eukaryota; Metazoa; Chordata; Mammalia; Primates; Hominidae
Description: lincRNA
Source: RNAcentral